GUGACAAGAAAUAACAAUACAGGGCUACUGUCUUGUAAUUGGAAUGAUGGUGACUUAAACCCUCACCAGAGUACCAAUUGGAGGGCAAGUCUGGUGCCAGCAGCCGCGGUAAUUCCAGCUCCAAUAGCGUAUAUUAAACUUGUUGCAGUUAAAAAGCUCGUAGUUGAAUUUCAGCGUUUCGCGUGUGCCUCUUUUGGCCCAUCUCGUCUCGCUUUUUUUAUUACUUUGAGAAAAUUAGAGUGUUUCAAGCAGGCUUUUGUCUUGAAUACUUGAGCAUGGAAUAAUAGAGUAGGACCUUGGUUCUAUUUUGUUGGUUUUGUUACCUUGGUAAUGGUUAAUAGGAACGGUUGGGGGCAUUCGUAUUUAACUGUCAGAG
This 376-nucleotide ribosomal RNA is filed under the name Babesia occultans. RNAcentral's name for it is "SSU rRNA". It matches the Rfam family "Eukaryotic small subunit ribosomal RNA", at positions 467 to 910 of the family's 1831-position model. The record is from RNAcentral. Lineage: Eukaryota; Apicomplexa; Aconoidasida; Piroplasmida; Babesiidae.